This is a long non-coding RNA of Cucumis sativus (cucumber), 417 nucleotides long. RefSeq lists it as uncharacterized. NCBI's taxonomy places the organism in Eukaryota, Viridiplantae, Streptophyta, Magnoliopsida, Cucurbitales, Cucurbitaceae. The record is from RefSeq and is a predicted model, not a curated record. The transcript has 2 exons.
UACCUCCUCCUCCUCCUCUUCUCUUCUUCUUCAUCUCUUCUUCAUCUUUUUUUCUUCUUCUUAGUGGAAGAUCCAUGAGUCGCCCCUCCUUUUGGAUUUUUCCUCCCUUUCGGUAACCAUCUCUCCUUCUCUCACGCACGCUGGAAACAACGAGACUUUUCGUCAAUGACUCGCCUGAAAUCCCCCUCUUUCUCUCCUUCAGCCGACGCCACCACCCAACACCCCUUGCACGGGAAAUCAAGGUCAAGGGAGAUUUCAUGGCUAUGGGCUGAAGCUUUGAGAAAAAAGAAUGAAAAAUGAAAUGUGAGAUUUUAACUUUGAUGGUGUGUAAGGUCUUUUUGUUUGUCUAUGAAUUUUCCAAGUGAAUUUGAGUACACUUGAUUUUUCUAUUGAUCUUUUGUUUAUGGUUGCUAUUGA